GAUGAACGCUGGCGGCGUGCCUAAUACAUGCAAGUCGAGCGAACAGAUAAGGAGCUUGCUCCUUUGACGUUAGCGGCGGACGGGUGAGUAACACGUGGGUAACCUACCUAUAAGACUGGAAUAACUCCGGGAAACCGGGGCUAAUGCCGGAUAACAUGUUGAACCGCAUGGUUCUACAGUGAAAGGCGGCUUUGCUGUCACUUAUAGAUGGACCCGCGCCGUAUUAGCUAGUUGGUGAGGUAACGGCUCACCAAGGCAACGAUACGUAGCCGACCUGAGAGGGUGAUCGGCCACACUGGAACUGAGACACGGUCCAGACUCCUACGGGAGGCAGCAGUAGGGAAUCUUCCGCAAUGGGCGAAAGCCUGACGGAGCAACGCAGCGUGAGUGAUGAAGGUCUUCGGAUCGUAAAACUCUGUUAUUAGGGAAGAACAAAUGCGUAAGUAACUGUGCGCGUCUUGACGGUACCUAAUCAGAAAGCCACGGCUAACUACGUG
RNAcentral lists this ribosomal RNA (497 nucleotides) under uncultured bacterium. RNAcentral's name for it is "partial 16S ribosomal RNA". It matches the Rfam family "Bacterial small subunit ribosomal RNA", at positions 28 to 507 of the family's 1533-position model. The record is from RNAcentral.